This 390-nucleotide ribosomal RNA is filed under the name Salmonella enterica. Its description in RNAcentral is "partial 23S ribosomal RNA". It matches the Rfam family "Bacterial large subunit ribosomal RNA", at positions 1 to 431 of the family's 2925-position model. RNAcentral also lists the same sequence under 1 other name. The record is from RNAcentral. Lineage: Bacteria; Pseudomonadati; Pseudomonadota; Gammaproteobacteria; Enterobacterales; Enterobacteriaceae.
GUUAAGCGACUAAGCGUACACGGUGGAUGCCCUGGCAGUCAGAGGCGAUGAAGGGCGUGCUAAUCUGCGAUAAGCGCCGGUAAGGUGAUAUGAACCGUUAUAACCGGCGAUACCCGAAUGGGGAAACCCAGUGUGACUCGUCACACUAUCAUUAACUGAAUCCAUAGGUUAAUGAGGCGAACCGGGGGAACUGAAACAUCUAAGUACCCCGAGGAAAAGAAAUCAACCGAGAUUCCCCCAGUAGCGGCGAGCGAACGGGGAGGAGCCCAGAGCCUGAAUCAGCAUGUGUGUUAGUGGAAGCGUCUGGAAAGGCGCGCGAUACAGGGUGACAGCCCCGUACACAAAAGCGCAUGUGCUGUGAGCUCGAUGAGUAGGGCGGGACACGUGGUA